This 232-nucleotide ribosomal RNA is filed under the name uncultured bacterium. Its description in RNAcentral is "partial 16S ribosomal RNA". It matches the Rfam family "Bacterial small subunit ribosomal RNA", at positions 99 to 334 of the family's 1533-position model. The record is from RNAcentral.
CGGACGGGUGAGUAAUGUCUGGGAAACUGCCCGAUGGAGGGGGAUAACUACUGGAAACGGUAGCUAAUACCGCAUAACGUCGCAAGACCAAAGAGGGGGACCUUCGGGCCUCUUGCCAUCGGAUAUGCCCAGAUGGGAUUAGCUAGUAGGUGGGGUAAUGGCUCACCUAGGCGACGAUCCCUAGCUGGUCUGAGAGGAUGACCAGCCACACUGGAACUGAGACACGGUCCAG